AGUCGAGGGGUAUUUAUCUUCGGAUAGAGAGACCGGCGCACGGGUGCGUAACGCGUAUGCAAUCUACCUUUUACAGAGGGAUAGCCCAGAGAAAUUUGGAUUAAUACCUCAUAGUAUAUAGACUCGGCAUCGAGAUUAUAUUAAAGUCACAACGGUAAAAGAUGAGCAUGCGUCCCAUUAGCUAGUUGGUAAGGUAACGGCUUACCAAGGCUACGAUGGGUAGGGGUCCUGAGAGGGAGAUCCCCCACACUGGUACUGAGACACGGACCAGACUCCUACGGGAGGCAGCAGUGAGGAAUAUUGGACAAUGGGCGCAAGCCUGAUCCAGCCAUGCCGCGUGCAGGAUGACGGUCCUAUGGAUUGUAAACUGCUUUUAUACGAGAAGAAACACUACUUCGUGAAGUAGCUUGACGGUAUCGUAAGAAUAAGGAUCGGCUAACUCCGUGCCAGCAGCCGCGGUAAUACGGAGGAUCCAAGCGUUAUCCGGAAUCAUUGGGUUUAAAGGGUCCGUAGGCGGUUUAAUAAGUCAGUGGUGAAAGCCCAUCGCUCAACGGUGGAACGGCCAUUGAUACUGUUAGACUUGAAUUAUUAGGAAGUAACUAGAAAUAUGUAGUGUAGCGGUGAAAUGCUUAGAGAUUACAUGGAAUACCAAUUGCGAAAGGCAGGUUACUACUAAUUGAUUGACGCUGAUGG
This 693-nucleotide ribosomal RNA is filed under the name Flavobacterium frigidimaris. Its description in RNAcentral is "bacterial SSU rRNA". It matches the Rfam family "Bacterial small subunit ribosomal RNA", at positions 60 to 752 of the family's 1533-position model. Lineage: Bacteria; Pseudomonadati; Bacteroidota; Flavobacteriia; Flavobacteriales; Flavobacteriaceae. The record is from RNAcentral.